This 478-nucleotide ribosomal RNA is filed under the name uncultured bacterium. RNAcentral's name for it is "partial 16S ribosomal RNA". It matches the Rfam family "Bacterial small subunit ribosomal RNA", at positions 28 to 523 of the family's 1533-position model. The record is from RNAcentral.
GACGAACGCUGGCGGCGUGCUUAACACAUGCAAGUCAAACGGUAAGGCCCUUCGGGGUACACGAGUGGCGAACGGGUGAGUAACACGUGGGUGAUCUGCCCUGCACUUCGGGAUAAGCCUGGGAAACUGGGUCUAAUACCGGAUAGGACUCCGGACUGCAUGGUCUGGGGUGGAAAGCUUUUGCGGUGUGGGAUGGGCCCGCGGCCUAUCGGCUUGUUGGUGGGGUGAUGGCCUACCAAGGCGACGACGGGUAGCCGGCCUGAGAGGGUGACCGGCCACACUGGGACUGAGAUACGGCCCAGACUCCUACGGGAGGCAGCAGUGGGGAAUAUUGCACAAUGGGCGCAAGCCCGAUGCAGCGACGCCGCGUGAGGGAUGACGGCCUUCGGGUUGUAAACCUCUUUCAGCAUCGACGAAGCGAAAGUGACGGUAGGUGCAGAAGAAGGACCGGCCAACUACGUGCCAGCCGCCGCAGUAA